ACGAACGCUGGCGGCGUGCUUAACACAUGCACGUCGAACGGAAAGGCCCUGCUUUCGUGGGGUGCUCGAGUGGCGAACGGGUGAGUAACACGUGAGUAACCUGCCCUUGACUUUGGGAUAACUUCAGGAAACUGGGGCUAAUACCGGAUAGGAGCUCCUGCUGCAUGGUGGGGGUUGGAAAGUUUCGGCGGUUGGGGAUGGACUCGCGGCUUAUCAGCUUGUUGGUGGGGUAGUGGCUUACCAAGGCUUUGACGGGUAGCCGGCCUGAGAGGGUGACCGGCCACAUUGGGACUGAGAUACGGCCCAGACUCCUACGGGAGGCAGCAGUGGGGAAUAUUGCACAAUGGGCGGAAGCCUGAUGCAGCAACGCCGCGUGCGGGAUGACGGCCUUCGGGUUGUAAACCGCUUUCGCCUGUGACGAAGCGUGAGUGACGGUAAUGGGUAAAGAAGCACCGGCUAACUACGUG
Molecule: ribosomal RNA, 467 nt
Filed under: uncultured bacterium
Lineage: Bacteria
Description: partial 16S ribosomal RNA
Rfam family: Bacterial small subunit ribosomal RNA
Source: RNAcentral